Molecule: long non-coding RNA, 229 nt
Filed under: Zalophus californianus (California sea lion)
Lineage: Eukaryota; Metazoa; Chordata; Mammalia; Carnivora; Otariidae
Description: lncRNA (ENSZCAG00015006668.1)
Source: RNAcentral
CUUGCCCAUUCCCUCCCCAUCUGACGAUAACGGAAAAAUUGCAAGGCCGUGCCAGAAUGAACACCAGAUAGAUAAGAUCCUUUAGGUGCUACAGAGAAAGCUCUGGGCAAGAACAAUGCUAGAGAUUAAUACAGCACGGCAACAGUUUUCUGGACAAUUUAUUGACAAUUCAAGAUGGGACCAGGAAGAAUGGAGUUAAAUGAAAAACAUUAGCAGAAAUUGUAUGUGG